GGAAGUAAAAGUCGUAACAAGAUUUCCGUAGGUGAACCUGCGGAAGGAUCAUUAUUGUAUAACCGAGGUGCGAGGGCGGUCGCUGACCCGAAAGGUCGUGCACGCCCGAGUGCCCUCACACACAUCCAUCUCACCCCUAUGUGCACCACCGCGUGGGUCCCCCUUUGGCUUGUUCGGAGGGGGGCUUACGUUUUCACACAAACUUUGUAUGCAGUGUAGAAUGUAUUUUUUGUUUUUGCGAUCACGCAAUCAAUACAACUUCCAACAACGGAUCUCUUGGCUCUC
Molecule: unclassified non-coding RNA, 285 nt
Filed under: plant metagenome
Description: partial contains small subunit ribosomal RNA and internal transcribed spacer 1
Rfam family: Eukaryotic small subunit ribosomal RNA (bases 1-54)
Source: RNAcentral